GACGAACGCUGGCGGCGUGCUUAACACAUGCAAGUCGAACGGAAAGGCCCUGCUUUUGUGGGGUGCUCGAGUGGCGAACGGGUGAGUAACACGUGAGUAACCUGCCCUUGACUUUGGGAUAACUUCAGGAAACUGGGGCUAAUACCGGAUAGGAGCUCCUGCUGCAUGGUGGGGGUUGGAAAGUUUCGGCGGUUGGGGAUGGACUCGCGGCUUAUCAGCUUGUUGGUGGGGUAGUGGCUUACCAAGGCUUUGACGGGUAGCCGGCCUGAGAGGGUGACCGGCAACAUUGGGACUGAGAUACGGCCCAGACUCCUACGGGAGGCAGCAGUGGGGAAUAUUGCACAAGGGGCGGAAGCCUGAUGCAGCAACGCCGCGUGCGGGAUGACGGCCUUCGGGCUGUAAACCGCUUUCGCCUGUGACGAAGCGUGAGUGACGGUAAUGGGUAAAGAAGCACCGGCUAACUACGU
RNAcentral lists this ribosomal RNA (467 nucleotides) under uncultured bacterium. Its description in RNAcentral is "partial 16S ribosomal RNA". It matches the Rfam family "Bacterial small subunit ribosomal RNA", at positions 28 to 506 of the family's 1533-position model. The record is from RNAcentral.